Molecule: long non-coding RNA, 565 nt
Organism: Dendrobium catenatum
Lineage: Eukaryota; Viridiplantae; Streptophyta; Magnoliopsida; Asparagales; Orchidaceae
Exons: 3
Source: RefSeq, a predicted model, not a curated record
AAAAUAUUGGUGUCUCUUGUGAAUACUGCACGAUCUCUCUUUUUAUCUGAUUGCGUGUUGGAUCUUUGUACAAAAGCUAAGACGCCAGACUUUAUAUUUCUCUACCCCCGCAAAGACUCUAGGACGCAAGACUUCUACUCUUUUAUGCAUCAAAACACUGAGCUCUUUUAGAACACUAGGAGUUAAGAAUUCGAAUUGAUGGCCUUUUCUUUGUUGUUGAGAUGAACAGUCCAAGAAUUUUCCACAGCUCCAAAAUUGUGGGUGUCAAGUUUUGUAACGAGAUAAAAUACUUGGUUAUAGAUCAUUAGCACAUGGUGGGGAAGAUAUGAAGAAGAAUCUGUCAUCCCAUUUGACGUUGAAAUAGCUAUACAUUGCUAAGGCGCCGUGGCGGAGCUCCGCCUUUGCACGAUGCCUUUUUCACCCAUCACAAUCACUGUUUCUCUAUUCCAAUGGCUUCCUUCCAAGUUGCAAUCUGUUAUGCUGCUAAAAUUAUGGGAAGAUUGUUCGAUAAAGACUAUCGCGGGAACAUCACGACACGGGCGCCGUAGGUGAUAUGCAGCUCAAC